Molecule: ribosomal RNA, 253 nt
Filed under: uncultured prokaryote
Description: partial 16S ribosomal RNA
Rfam family: Bacterial small subunit ribosomal RNA
Source: RNAcentral
ACGUAGGUGGCGAGCGUUGUCCGGAGUUACUGGGCGUAAAGGGCGUGUAGGCGGCCUUUUAAGUCAGAUGUGAAAUCUCAGGGCUUAACCCUGAAACUGCAUUUGAAACUGGAGGGCUUGAGGAUCGGAGAGGGCAGUGGAAUUCCCAGUGUAGCGGUGAAAUGCGUAGAUAUUGGGAGGAACACCAGUGGCGAAAGCGACUUUCUGGUCCUUAACUGACGCUGAGGCGCGAAAGCAUGGGGAGCGAACGGGA